AGAAGUUUAAAUCGAAGCUGCUAACUUUGAUUAGGGGAUUAUAAUCUCCAACUUCUC
RNAcentral lists this transfer RNA (57 nucleotides) under Sagaminopteron nigropunctatum. Its description in RNAcentral is "tRNA-Ser". The record is from RNAcentral. Lineage: Eukaryota; Metazoa; Mollusca; Gastropoda; Cephalaspidea; Gastropteridae.